UAACACGUUCCCGGCAGAUGGAAGAGA
This 27-nucleotide non-coding RNA is filed under the name Bombyx mori (domestic silkworm). The record is from RNAcentral. Lineage: Eukaryota; Metazoa; Arthropoda; Insecta; Lepidoptera; Bombycidae.